AGAAUCAACGCUGGCGGCGUGCCUAACACAUGCAAGUCGCACGAGAAAGUGGAGCAAUCCAUGAGUACAGUGGCGCACGGGUGAGUAACACGUGAAUCAUCUACCUCCGAGUGGGGAAUAACCUAGAGAAAUCUGGGCUAAUACCGCAUAACACUUACGAGUCAAAGCAGCAAUGCGCUUGGAGAGGAGUUCGCGGCCGAUUAGCUAGUUGGCGGGGUAAUGGCCACCAAGGCGAUGAUCGGUA
This 244-nucleotide ribosomal RNA is filed under the name uncultured bacterium. Its description in RNAcentral is "partial small subunit ribosomal RNA". It matches the Rfam family "Bacterial small subunit ribosomal RNA", at positions 26 to 285 of the family's 1533-position model. The record is from RNAcentral.